Molecule: long non-coding RNA, 564 nt
Organism: Salmo salar (Atlantic salmon)
Lineage: Eukaryota; Metazoa; Chordata; Actinopteri; Salmoniformes; Salmonidae
Source: RefSeq, a predicted model, not a curated record
CUAAACUGACAACGGAGUGAAGAGCAGAAAUUCCAACUAGCAAGCAAGUCGCAGCAAUGAAGAUUUGUGUGUGGUGCGCGUUCACGCGAAGGGGGUGGGGGAUUUUCGGCACAACACCGGUUUUCGGUUCAGAACCAUUCGCUCAGUCCAGUCACUCAGCCCUGUCUAGAAGCUCUCAAGGUCCUUCAUUACUUCCUCCUACAACACCCUGAUGAGAAGCAAAAAGCCUGGCACCAUGACUUUCACACUCAGAUGGUAUUGUAGGCUGAUUGAUGGCACUGUUUGAGGGACAACUGGACAGAACAUAUCAGAAUGCUUGGACCUCAGCUGAAACCCUCCUCCCCUUCCCUAUCGUUCAAGGAAAGCCCCUUCUUUACACUUCCUGUUUGGAAUGAUGCUUUCAAGGAUACAUUAUGGGGAAGUUGCUUUGCCGUUGGUACCAAUCCCACACUGCCAGGCUGUCGGACAACAUCAAUGAAUUUAUCCCCCUCAUCCUAAACUUUUUGCUACCUCUUGUUCAACUGCUCUUUGAUUAGAUUGGUUUAAUUAAAUGUUUACAUUCGC